This 494-nucleotide ribosomal RNA is filed under the name uncultured bacterium. RNAcentral describes it as "bacterial SSU rRNA". It matches the Rfam family "Bacterial small subunit ribosomal RNA", at positions 903 to 1397 of the family's 1533-position model. The record is from RNAcentral.
AAAGGAAUUGACGGGGGCCCGCACAAGCGGAGGAACAUGUGGUUUAAUUCGAUGAUACGCGAGGAACCUUACCCGGGCUUGAAAUGCAUCCGACCUCCCCAGAGACGGGGACUCCCCUCGGGGCGGAUGCGUAGGUGCUGCAUGGUUGUCGUCAGCUCGUGCCGUGAGGUGUCGGCUUAAGUGCCAUAACGAGCGCAACCCUCAUCGCUAGUUGCCAUCAGGUCAUGCUGGGGACUCUAGCGAGACUGCCAUCGUAAGAUGCGAGGAAGGUGGGGAUGACGUCAAAUCAGCACGGCCCUUACGUCCGGGGCGACACACGUGUUACAAUGGGUGGUACAAAGGGCGGCUACAUGGCGACAUGAUGCUAAUCUCCAAAACCACUCUCAGUUCGGAUCGGAGUCUGCAACUCGACUUCGUGAAGCUGGAUUCGCUAGUAAUCGCGCAUCAGCCACGGCGCGGUGAAUACGUUCCCGGGCCUUGUACACACCGCCCGU